GGGUUGUGAGGUUAAGCGAACAAGCGUACACGGUGGAUGCCCUGGCAGUCAGAGGCGAUGAAGGACGUGCUAAUCUGCGAAAAGCGCCGGUAAGGUGAUAUGAACCGUUAUAACCGGCGAUGUCCGAAUGGGGAAACCCGGUGCACUUCGGUGCAUCAUCGUUAGCUGAAUACAUAGGCUAACGAGGCGAACCGGGGGAACUGAAACAUCUAAGUACCCCGAGGAAAAGAAAUCAACCGAGAUUCCCCCAGUAGCGGCGAGCGAACGGGGAACAGCCCAGAGCCUGAAUCAGCUUGUGUGUCAGUGGAACGGUCUGGAAAGGCCGGCGAUACAGGGUGACAGCCCCGUACACGAAGGCACACAGGCUGUGAGCUCGAUGAGUAGGGCGGGACACGUGAUAUCCUGUCUGAAGAUGGGGGGACCAUCCUCCAAGGCUAAAUACUCCUGACUGACCGAUAGUGAACCAGUACCGUGAGGGAAAGGCGAAAAGAACCCCGGCGAGGGGAGUGAAACAGAACCUGAAACCGUGUACGUACAAGCAGUGGGAGCCUUCGUAAGAGGGUGACUGCGUACCUUUUGUAUAAUGGGUCAGCGACUUAUAUUCUGUAGCAAGGUUAACCGUAUAGGGGAGCCGAAGGGAAACCGAGUCUUAACCGGGCGUUAAGUUGCAGGGUAUAGACCCGAAACCCGGUGAUCUAGCCAUGGGCAGGUUGAAGGUUGGGUAACACUAACUGGAGGACCGAACCGACUAAUGUUGAAAAAUUAGCGGAUGACCUGUGGCUGGGGGUGAAAGGCCAAUCAAACCGGGAGAUAGCUGGUUCUCCCCGAAAGCUAUUUAGGUAGCGCCUCGUGAAUUCAUCUCCGGGGGUAGAGCACUGUUUCGGCUAGGGGGCCAUCCCGGCUUACCAACCCGAUGCAAACUGCGAAUACCGGAGAAUGUUAUCACGGGAGACACACGGCGGGUGCUAACGUCCGUCGUGAAGAGGGAAACAACCCAGACCGCCAGCUAAGGUCCCAAAGUCAUGGUUAAGUGGGAAACGAUGUGGGAAGGCCCAGACAGCCAGGAUGUUGGCUUAGAAGCAGCCAUCAUUUAAAGAAAGCGUAAUAGCUCACUGGUCGAGUCGGCCUGCGCGGAAGAUGUAACGGGGCUAAACCAUGCACCGAAGCUGCGGCAGCGACACUAUGUGUUGUUGGGUAGGGGAGCGUUCUGUAAGCCUGUGAAGGUGUGCUGUGAGGCAUGCUGGAGGUAUCAGAAGUGCGAAUGCUGACAUAAGUAACGAUAAAGCGGGUGAAAAGCCCGCUCGCCGGAAGACCAAGGGUUCCUGUCCAAC
RNAcentral lists this ribosomal RNA (1331 nucleotides) under Cronobacter sakazakii. RNAcentral describes it as "bacterial LSU rRNA". It matches the Rfam family "Bacterial large subunit ribosomal RNA", at positions 1 to 1363 of the family's 2925-position model. The record is from RNAcentral. Lineage: Bacteria; Pseudomonadati; Pseudomonadota; Gammaproteobacteria; Enterobacterales; Enterobacteriaceae.